GGAAGGGCAAUAAAGCAUAAAAACAUAAGCUUAAAAGUUUUAGAAGAACUAAAUUAUAGUUUAACUUCAUGUAUGUUGAAGAAUGAGCCGGCGACUUAUAGGCAGUGGCAGGUUAAAAUAGAGAAUAUUAAAGCCAUAGUGAAAGCGAGCCUUAAUAGGGCAUUAGUCACUGUUUAUAGACCCGAACCCAGAUGAUCUAGCCAUGACCAGGGUGAAGCUUAGAUAACACUAAGUGGAGGUCCGAAUCGACUGAUGUUGAAAAAUCAGCGGAUGAGUUGUAGUUAGUGAUGAAAUGCCAAUCGAAUCCGCAGCUAGCUGUGGUUCUUCCCGAAAAUGCCUUUUAGCGCAGCAGUUAAUACUUAAUCUUGGGAGUAAAGCACUUUCUCGAUGCGGGCUGUAAGAGCGGUACCAAAUCAAGGCAAACUCUGAAUACCACGUGUGUAGUUAGCCAGUGAGACAGUGGGGGAUAAGCUUCAUUGUUAAAAGGGAAACAGCCCAGAUGACCAGCUAAGGCCCCAAAAUAUUUGCUAAGUGAUAAAGGAAGUAGUAAUGCAUAGACAAACAGGAGGUUUGCUUAGAAGCAGCAAUCUUUUAAAGAGUGCGUAAUAGCUCACUGGUCUAGUGAUCCUGUGCCGAAAAUGAAUAGAACUAAGCAAUUUGCCGAUGCUGUGAGAUGUUUUUAUAUAUCGGUAGGGGAGCGUUCUGCAUUAGAUUGAAGCAUUAGUGUAAACAGAUGUGGACAAAAGAGAAGUAAGAAUGUCGGCUUGAGUAGCGAAAACAUUGGUGAUAAUUCAAUGCCCUGAAAACCUAAGUUUUACUUUGGAAGAUUCGUCCGCAAAGGGUGAGUCACGUAAGACAAUGUAUGGGGGCUAACGCCUUCCCAGUGCUGGAAGGUUAAAAAAAUAAGUUAGCACUAGCAAAGCUUAUAACUAAAGCCCCAGUGAACGGCGGCCGUAACUAUAACAGUCCUAAGGUAACGAAAUUCCUUGUCGGAUAAGUUCCGACCCGCACGAAAGGCGUAACGAUUUGGGUAUUGUCUCAGAGAGAAGCUUGGCAAAAUAGAAUUGUCUGUGCAGAUGUGGACUACCUGCACCUGGACAGAAAGACCCUAUGAAGCUUUAAUGUAGCUUGGAAUUGAAUUUAGGUUUAUUGUGCACAGAAUAGGUGGGAGGCUAAGACAAUAAACUUGCAGGUUUGUUUGAGCCAUUAGCAAGAUGCUAAUCUCAGUAAACUAGAAUUCUAACUUUGAUGUUUAUCAACUAUCCAAAGAACAGUUUCAGGUAGUCAGGUUGACUAGUUCUGUUGCCUCCUAAAAAGUAACGGAGGCGUAUAAAGGUUUCCUUAGACUGUUUGUAUUGUAAAUCAGUAUUAGAGUGUAAAGGCAGAAGGAAACUUGACUACAAUACAUACAAGUUAAUGAUAGAAGAAAAUUAACAUUAGUGAUCCAAUCCAAUAAUACUAAGUGCAAAGUAUGUCAAUGAAUAGAUAAGAGUUACUCUAGGGAUAUAAAAGACUAAUCUAACCAAAGAUUUUACAUAAACGGGGAGGUUUGGCACCUAAUGUCUUCCAAUCACAUCUUCGGGCGGGUAGGGUAGUACAUACUAAUUAUUGUGUUAGGCUGUUCGCUUAUUAAAGCAGCACACGAGCUAGAUUCAGAACGUCACGCCGUGAGAUAGUUUGUUCCUAUCUGAUAUAGAGAUUAGAAUAUUAAUAAUAACUCUACUUAGCUACUUAGUAAUAUAUAAGAAACAAACUGAUAGUAUACUAGUUAUUGUAGUAACAUUAACCGCUAGGUAGAUAAAAUCAAGAUGAGCGCUCUUAUUACUAUUGCAUUAAGAUCACGGUAAGAUUAAUAUUUUAUAGUCACUGGGCUUAAUUAUAACAAUAUUAAGAUAUACUAACAGAUCGAUGGCUUUAGUUA
Molecule: ribosomal RNA, 1921 nt
Filed under: Riquetophycus sp.
Lineage: Eukaryota; Rhodophyta; Florideophyceae; Peyssonneliales; Peyssonneliaceae
Description: 23S ribosomal RNA
Rfam family: Bacterial large subunit ribosomal RNA
Source: RNAcentral